AGAGCUAUCAGCUUCCCAGUUUACAAAAUUAAUCAAGAAAUAAUGCGGGGCCACUGGCACAAAUGAGGCAUCUCCUGGAAGCUUAACUUCCUAUCCAUCCCAUCUCUUGGACAGAUGAUGCCAGUUAAUUAUUUUGAAUAAAAAUGGGCAAAAGCUUAUCAUUAUCAACAAAUAAGAAGAAGGAAACCCUAUGCCAGGUAGCACCAAAGCUUUGGUCCAGUGCCCUCUGUUGAAACAUCCUAGGCUUUUUAUUUCCACUCCUAUUACAACUGACCUGAUUUGGCCCCUUCACAUUUUACUCAUAGAUUUUGCUAAACCUUUCUAUUUUGUCUCCCUGAAUUAAGCUUUUCCUUUUGGACACAUUACAUAUGGAUUCUAAAAUAAUCCUUUGUAUGUCUACACUUGAACAUAAAGCAAAAAACAAAAUAAAAAAAAUAAUCCUCCUGUUUUAAUCA
Mandrillus leucophaeus (drill) is the source of this 455-nucleotide long non-coding RNA. RefSeq lists it as uncharacterized. The record is from RefSeq and is a predicted model, not a curated record. NCBI's taxonomy places the organism in Eukaryota, Metazoa, Chordata, Mammalia, Primates, Cercopithecidae. The transcript is spliced from 2 exons.